Molecule: long non-coding RNA, 583 nt
Filed under: Homo sapiens (human)
Lineage: Eukaryota; Metazoa; Chordata; Mammalia; Primates; Hominidae
Description: HSALNT0056943
Source: RNAcentral
CUUGGCAAAGAGCUCUCUGUCAUGCUUCUGCACAGGACAGUGAAAGCUCUGACCAGGCUAAACUAGUGUGAGAUGGCAAGGCCAUGACCUUAUUAGAAAAGCCUCUCUCUGAAGUCUCAAACGACCCUAAUACCAACGUUGAAUUUGCCUGAGCCUGUCCUUUCUGAUUUCCCCCAACACAUUACACAGGAGCUCUCUGUCAAAUUUGGUGCUGCCGAUAAUGAGCUAGUCUCUCAGACUUUUGUAUUAAACGCAAGUUCUCCAGGAAACUUUUGAAAGUGCACAGGAAAAAUACAGAGAAAAUUGAAGACUAAAGGGAGUAUGUUUCUGUUCUACAGCAAUACAUUUACCAUGCAAAGCAAUGUGUUUAUCUAUACUUAUGCUUUUUGCUUCUAUUCUAUAUUAACCUCAUCUGAUUUAUGCUAAUUUUUGCCCAAGAUGACAACAGAAGCAGAGAGUUAUAGUCACACAGAGUAUUUCCUUUACUAUUACUCCACCUGCUGGAAUUGCCCUUCACUGACCACAGAUUCCUAGGACUGAGAUUUGAAAAAUGUGAAGAGAAAAGGAAUUAGAAUUAUUUACA